GAAAAUUUGGAAGCUAAAGAAACAAAAUGACAAAAUAGAAUAGAAUACUUUUUGGCGCAAUGAGGUGUAGAAGGAAUAUCCAGGUCCAACGGGAAUAAUCGCCCUUGCUUAUGCCCCUUCCCGAUCACUUUCCCAAUUUGCAAGUCCUGUAUAACACAUCCUGAAGGAGAAAAAUUAACUGAGCAAUUUUGAUCAACCAACAGACCAACAGAAAUCAAAUUUGCAGUUAAUGUGGGAAUAUAAAGAGAAUUAGGGAGGGGUAGAGACUUGGCCAAAGAAAGAGUUUACACCCUUAAUAGGAAGUUGUUCUCCAUUAGCAGUAAUGACAGUACCAUUUGGUGAGCAUGGUUGAAGUUUAGAGAAAAAUUGUUUUUUUGCUAGACAUAUGAUUAAAGGCUCCGGAAUCAAGAAACUAAGGAGAUGAUUGAGUUUUUCUACCUGAUAAACUAGCAGCAGAGAAAAGCAGAGGAUAUAGCACUUAGAAGAGCUAAUUGUAAAGUAGAUUGAAUCAUU
This 513-nucleotide unclassified non-coding RNA is filed under the name Hevea brasiliensis (rubber tree). Lineage: Eukaryota; Viridiplantae; Streptophyta; Magnoliopsida; Malpighiales; Euphorbiaceae. The record is from RNAcentral.